This 427-nucleotide ribosomal RNA is filed under the name uncultured archaeon. RNAcentral's name for it is "bacterial SSU rRNA". It matches the Rfam family "Archaeal small subunit ribosomal RNA", at positions 44 to 473 of the family's 1478-position model. The record is from RNAcentral.
CUAAGCCAUGCGAGUCGAACGAGUUUAGGCUCGUGGCGUACGGCUCAGUAACACGUGGAUAACCUACCCUUAGGACUGGGAUAACCCUGGGAAACUGGGGAUAAUACUAGAUAGGCAAUUUUUCCUGGAAUGGUUUUUUGUUUAAAUGUUUUUUCGCCUAAGGAUGGGUCUGCGGCCGAUUAGGUAGUUGGUUAGGUAACGGCUUACCAAGCCAUUGAUCGGUACGGGUUGUGAGAGCAAGAGCCCGGAGAUGGAACCUGAGACAAGGUUCCAGGCCCUACGGGGUGCAGCAGGCGCGAAACCUCCGCAAUGUGAGAAAUCGCGACGGGGGGAUCCCAAGUGCCAUUCUUAACGGGAUGGCUUUUCAUUAGUGUGAAGAGCUUUUGGAAUAAGGGCUGGGCAAGACCGGUGCCAGCCGCCGCGGUAA